RNAcentral lists this ribosomal RNA (389 nucleotides) under uncultured bacterium. RNAcentral describes it as "bacterial SSU rRNA". It matches the Rfam family "Bacterial small subunit ribosomal RNA", at positions 30 to 418 of the family's 1533-position model. The record is from RNAcentral.
AUUGAACGCUGGCGGCAUGCCUUACACAUGCAAGUCGAACGGCAGCACGGGAGCAAUCCUGGUGGCGAGUGGCGAACGGGUGAGUAAUAUAUCGGAACGUGCCCAGUCGUGGGGGAUAACGUAGCGAAAGCUACGCUAAUACCGCAUACGAUCUAUGGAUGAAAGCGGGGGAUCGCAAGACCUCGCGCGAUUGGAGCGGCCGAUAUCAGAUUAGGUAGUUGGUGAGGUAAAGGCUCACCAAGCCGACGAUCUGUAGCUGGUCUGAGAGGACGACCAGCCACACUGGGACUGAGACGCGGCCCAGACUCCUACGGGAGGCAGCAGUGGGGAAUUUUUGGACAAUGGGCGCAAGCCUGAUCCAGCAAUGCCGCGUGCAGGAUGAAGGCCUU